This is a small nucleolar RNA of Spea bombifrons (plains spadefoot toad), 133 nucleotides long. RefSeq annotates it as small nucleolar RNA SNORA71. The record is from RefSeq and is a predicted model, not a curated record. Lineage: Eukaryota; Metazoa; Chordata; Amphibia; Anura; Pelobatidae. The transcript has a single exon.
ACCUGCAUCGAAAGUGAUUGUGGUCUGCUGUGUGACCCGGUCAUUGAUACUGCAGGGAGAGAAGCCGUUGAAAGUAUUUCCCGUGUUUGGAGCAGCUCACACCAUGCCUACCAAACCCUGUCACUUUCGCACA